Molecule: ribosomal RNA, 374 nt
Filed under: uncultured organism
Description: partial 16S ribosomal RNA
Rfam family: Bacterial small subunit ribosomal RNA
Source: RNAcentral
GUAGGUGGCAAGCGUUGUCCGGAAUUAUUGGGCGUAAAGCGCGCGCAGGUGGUUCUUUAAGUCUGAUGUGAAAGCCCCCGGCUCAACCGGGGAGGGUCAUUGGAAACUGGGGAACUUGAGUGCAGGAGAGGAAAGUGGAAUUCCACGUGUAGCGGUGAAAUGCGUAGAUAUGUGGAGGAACACCAGUGGCGAAGGCGACUUUCUGGCCUGUGACUGACACUGAGGCGCGAAAGCGUGGGGAGCAAACAGGGAUUAGAUACCCUGGUAGUCCACGCCGUAAACGAUGAGUGCUAAGUGUUGGGGGGGUUUCCCGCCCCUCAGUGCUGCAGCUAACGCAUUAAGCACUCCGCCUGGGGAGUACGGUCGCAAGACUA